RNAcentral lists this ribosomal RNA (355 nucleotides) under Pseudoxanthomonas sp. Its description in RNAcentral is "bacterial SSU rRNA". It matches the Rfam family "Bacterial small subunit ribosomal RNA", at positions 425 to 772 of the family's 1533-position model. The record is from RNAcentral. Lineage: Bacteria; Pseudomonadati; Pseudomonadota; Gammaproteobacteria; Lysobacterales; Lysobacteraceae.
GUAAAGCCCUUUUGUUGGGAAAGAAAAGCAUCCGGUUAAUACCCGGGUGUUCUGACGGUACCCAAAGAAUAAGCACCGGCUAACUUCGUGCCAGCAGCCGCGGUAAUACGAAGGGUGCAAGCGUUACUCGGAAUUACUGGGCGUAAAGCGUGCGUAGGUGGUGAUUUAAGUCCGUUGUGAAAGCCCUGGGCUCAACCUGGGAAUUGCAGUGGAUACUGGGUCACUAGAGUGUGGUAGAGGAUAGUGGAAUUUCCGGUGUAGCAGUGAAAUGCGUAGAGAUCGGAAGGAACAUCUGUGGCGAAGGCGACUAUCUGGGCCAACACUGACACUGAGGCACGAAAGCGUGGGGAGCAAA